RNAcentral lists this ribosomal RNA (484 nucleotides) under uncultured bacterium. RNAcentral describes it as "partial 16S ribosomal RNA". It matches the Rfam family "Bacterial small subunit ribosomal RNA", at positions 30 to 507 of the family's 1533-position model. The record is from RNAcentral.
AUUGAACGCUGGCGGCAUGCCUAACACAUGCAAGUCGAGCGGUUGAGGGUCGCUUGCUCCUGGAUUCAGCGGCGGACGGGUGGGUCAUUCCUGGGAAUCUGCUUGGUAUUGGGGGAUAGCGUCCGGAAACGGGCGCUAUUACCGCAUACGUCCUGAGGGAGAAAGUGGGGGUUCUUCGGACCUCGCGCUAUCAGCUGAGCCUAGGUCGGAUUCGCUAGUGGGUGGGGUAAAGGCCUACCAAGGCGACGAUCCGUACCUGGUCUGAGAGGAUGAUCAGUCACACUGGAACGGGGACACGGUCCAGACUCCUAGGGGAGGAAGCAGUGGGGAAUAUUGGACAAUGGGCGAAAGCCUGAUCCAGCCAUGCCGCGGGUGGGAAGAAGGUCUUCGGAUUGUAAAGCACUUUAAGUGGGGAGAAAGGGCAGUAAGUUAAUACCUUGCUGUUUUGACGUUACCAACAGAAUAAGCACCGGCUAACUACGUG